GUUUCUGUAGCCUAGUUGGUAAAGGGAUAACUAUAGGUUGUUUCUUGGCUCUAUUUUGAGGUCAUGGGUUUGAAUCCCAUCAGAAAAU
Transfer RNA from Puccinia sorghi, 88 nucleotides. It matches the Rfam family "tRNA". From Rfam's summary of the family: Transfer RNA (tRNA) molecules are approximately 80 nucleotides in length. Their secondary structure includes four short double-helical elements and three loops (D, anti-codon, and T loops). The record is from Rfam. Lineage: Eukaryota; Fungi; Basidiomycota; Pucciniomycetes; Pucciniales; Pucciniaceae.